UGUAUGUAUGUAUGUAUGUAUGUAUGUAUGUGUAUAUAUAUAUAUAUAUAUAUAUAUAUAUAAAACAACCAUCUGAGGAGAACUAUGCUGUAGCCUAUAUGUUUUACCACUUGGCCUUUGACCUUUAAUGACAAAAUCUCUUUAAAGCUAUUUCCCUCAGAUUCACUGUUUGUGUAGACUGCUCUUUGCCUUUGUAGGGCAGUUCAGGUGGCUGCCCUGCCCUUUCCCUUAGACUGCCUCAUGUCCCUCAUUUCAACGUGGUACACCUUCCUGAAAACAAUGGCACUAUACUUAGCUUAAAACUGUUCUGCUAGUUCAUCUCCUUAAAGAUUAGAAUGUUCCAAUGUGGUUAGCGAAAAAUAUGAAAGAUAGUUCACACAUUUAUAAUUCACGACAGGGUUAUCAUCCAUUAGAUAUGUCCCAUUUCUGGCUCGUCCAUAACAUGUUUCCUGCUUGUAGCAGGGCGUGUUCACAGGAAACCCUUCUCUAACUAUAAGUCACAUGAUUUAAUGAGAAAAGGUUUCUGCAUUGAUGGUGUGUAAUGUCAAAGUUAAACACACACACACAUAGGCUACUAUUUACUCUAGCUGUCAUUUGACUUUAUUAGUUUUAGCUUCCUUAUACUCUCUGAGGACACAUCUCUCAAGUGACAUUGUAAUUGCAAUUUCCAGGUGAUUAAAAGGUAGAGCAGUUGUUGGUAAAGUCAAUCAAAAAUCAAUCUGGUUCAUUAUAAGUUGCAAUAGGGAGACACCUCCAGCCCAGAAGCAGAGAAAAUAUCUAAUUGGCCUCUAGGAGACAGGCCCUUUAUUUCUCAUUCAGACAGCACCAAAUGUUCUGUAAACACCAGCCUCUUGGAGACAGGCCCUUUAUAUCCUAAUCAGACAGCACCAGAUAAACACCAGCCUCUUGGAGACAGGCCCUUUAUAUCCUAAUCAGACAGCACCAGAUAAACACCAGCCUCUUGGAGACAGGCCCUUUAUAUCCUAAUCAGACAGCACCAGAUAAACACCAGCCUCUUGGAGACAGGCCCUUUAUAUCCUAAUCAGACAGCACCAGAUAAACACCAGCCUCUUGGAGACAGACCCUUUAUAUCCUAAUCAGACAGCACCAGAUAAACACCAGCCUCUUGGAGACAGACCCUUUAUAUCCUAAUCAGACAGCACCAGAUAAACACCAGCCUCUUGGAGACAGGCCCUUUAUAUCCUAAUCAGACAGCACCAAAUGUUCUGUAUACACCAGCCUCUUGGAGACAGACCCUUUAUUUCCUAAUCAGACAGCACCAAAUGUUCUGUAUACACCAGGUGCAAAAAUACUAAUUUAUUUAAAAUUUUCUACCCAAAAUAGAGUCUCAUGAACAUGACAGGGACAAAGCCCAAAACAAAAAUGUAUAUAGAUAACACAGGGCUGUGACCCAAACAAAGAGCGAAUUGUAAACCUGAA
Molecule: long non-coding RNA, 1440 nt
Organism: Oncorhynchus tshawytscha (Chinook salmon)
Lineage: Eukaryota; Metazoa; Chordata; Actinopteri; Salmoniformes; Salmonidae
Source: Ensembl